Non-coding RNA from Acanthochromis polyacanthus (spiny chromis), 72 nucleotides. Lineage: Eukaryota; Metazoa; Chordata; Actinopteri; Pomacentridae. The record is from the annotation of a RefSeq genome assembly.
UCUCAUAUGGUCGAGUGGUCAAGAUUCCUGGUUUUCACUCAGAUGGCCUGGGUUCAAUUCCCGGUAUGGGAA